AAUCCCCAAACGCCAAGCCAACUCUGGGCUCUCUACUUAUUUCCUCGUUUCUUCUCACCCCAAACAAGGUUGACUCUGUGGCCCAAACCAAUCAGAAGUUUUCUAUCUGUCUCUUCCUUGUUCUUUAUUCUUUAUUCUAUGAAAGCUUCCUGCUUCUGCCCCACUUUGCACUUCUCCGAAUAGAGACUGUCUGCCUCAGGAUGUGGUCAAUAAAGUUUGUUUAUAUCACCUAAACUGUCUUCUUUAAUCGCUUUUUAACAGGAGUCUCCCACGCAAGGGAGGGCUGGAAGGGCUGUGAGGAGAGCAUCAGUGGUGGAAAGAGACGGUGAGCAGCAGCAGGCACAGGGCCGAGCGUCAGCAGGAGCGCCCCGCGCCCGGGAACUGAGGUUUCCAUCAGGCCAGAGUCCGCGUCCCGCUCACCUUUGGGGAAUCUGCGAGGCAGGCGGCCUCCUUUCUGUCCCCCAGAAGGACAGUGGGGGCCUUGACCCCCGUCCCCUCCAGUUGGGUCAGCACCUGCUGCGCCACUGCUGGCUCUCUGAGUCCCAAGGGGAGCACACCCUGGAUUUGGCUGAGGGCUCACAGUUGCUUUUCUGAGACGAACGCUCAGCAAGGUUGUCAAGGCCCCGUGGAUGCAGAUGAGAAAGACGGUGAGAGCAUCGGAGGGGAGCCCUGGGGAGUCUCCCCGUCCUCGCAGGGCUACACCGGCGCGGCUGCCUGUGCCCUCCGGAAGCCCGACCGCGUAGUAGGCCGACCGCGCCGCACCCCUUCCGUCUGGAAGCCGGUCCUGGAGCCGCGCCGGCCCUCGCCCAGGGCGGGGGUGCGCUCCCCAGCUUCUCUAGGAUCCGCAGCAUCCUCUGCUUCCUUCGUGGAUGUCGGCCGAAUCCAGACUUGAGCAGCAGAAAGUUCUGGCUCUGUGACCAGGGGCUGGGCUGGGGAGCAGGCAGGGCCCUCAGCUCCGGGCGGGGCUGUCUACACCCGAGUCUGAAGAGCUGACGACAAACACGGCGGGCCCACGAGGACCAGCUGCUUCUCACUGGACAGGCCGCGGGGCGUGCGGGGCUGCGGGGUCCUCCUCUCAGGGCACGGGCGCUUCCUGGGAGAGAAGCGCCUGUCUUUAGAAGGAAUUCCUUAUGAACCCAGUCCUGUGAGAAAAUGGUACCAUUUUUGCACGUUGUUUUCCUGAUCUGAAAGUUUCUAGCUGAUCUUCUGUUAAGAGGUGUGUGUGAGUGAGUGGCGUGGUAUGCGUGUGUGCAUGUGAUAUGCGUGUGUAUGUGGUGUGUGGUGUGUGUGUGUGUGUGUGUGUGAGGGGUGUGUACGUGGUAUGUGUGUAUGUGGUGUGUGUGUCUAUGUGCGUAUGUUGUGUGUGCGGUGUGUGUGCAUGCGCGUGUGGCCGAGCGUCUUCGGCGUGGGGAGUCUGGGAGACUGCGCCUGUUUUCAGGACGGUCCUCGUCCCCUGGCCGCCCUGCGGGCCCAGCCCUGCGCACACCCCGGCCGGUUAGACGAGGACGGAGCGGGUGCCGGGAGCUGUCCCCGCGCGCAUCCGGUCCCAUCAGACGGAGACGCAGCGUGCUCCUGCCUGGGGCUCUGCGCGCGGAGCCGGGGGGGGUGGGACUUCAGGACGGGCGUCGUCCGAGCUGACGGCGAGUUCGUGCGUCCCCCAGAAGCCACCUGUCCCGAGUUAGAGCCUCUCCGGGCUCUCCCGUCGCUGAGCUGUGGCCGCGGCUCCGGGAGCGGCCGCCUCGCCCGGCCCCGGCCUCCCUCCCGCCGCGCCCGCGCUCCUCCCGCCGCCCCUCAAAGCGGGAGGGGGAGGGAGGGGAGGUUUGUGUUACAAUGUUCGGAUCUCCAUCAUGCAAAGAAGAAAACUAAGCUGAAAGCGAGUUCGAGUUCGUAGAGGGCAGCGGGAGGAGAGGGUGCAGGCGGAAGUGUCGCUGCCCCCAGGAUCCCCGUUCCCUGUCGUUCAAACGCUAAUCGAGGUCCUGCUGUGAAGGGGCUUUGCCGAUGGAACCAGGGUCGCCGGCCCGCUGACCCUCAAGCAGGGACCCUGUCCUGGCUUCUGCAGGGGGCGCCGUGUGUCUCAGGGAGCCGCGCGGGCAGCCGAGGAGGGCGGACUCCGCCGGAGCCGAGGCGGGAGGGGAGCCGGAG
Long non-coding RNA from Equus caballus (horse), 2142 nucleotides. Lineage: Eukaryota; Metazoa; Chordata; Mammalia; Perissodactyla; Equidae. The record is from Ensembl.